AUGGGGGGAACCUCAGUUUAGGGAAGAUUCAUGUAUUCAUGUAGGUUGGGGUUCACAACAUGGCACCCACAGAUUUCCUGGGCAUUCUUGCUAUUACAUAUUAAAUGUGAAUAGGUGUCUUUUGUUAUGUGGGCAAGAUCCACACUUUCAUUGGAUUGUCAAGGAGGUCACUGACUCCCAAAUAGGUUGAAAACCUUAUUGAGUUUGGGAAGAUAAUACCCUAUCAUUUACAGGGCAGCAAGGUGGCUGACCCAUGGUCAUAGGAAUUUUAUAGAUUAACAAUAUUUGCUUUAAGCUGAUGACUUCCAAGUGAGCACUAAUUAGCCCAGUAGGUUGAAAAGCCAUUCCUGAUGUCCAUUUUUCAAGUGGACAGGCUUUUCUGUCUGAGACAGGAGGCUCCCAGGCUGGCCUGGCAGAGGGCUCUGCAGCCACUCAGCCUGAGUUCAGAUCCCAGUUCUUAUUAGCUGUGUGACCAGGGUGCCUUCCCAGCCCUCUCUGCACCAGUUUCUUCUUCUGUAAAAUGGGAACAAUGAUAGUAGCACCUACCUUGCAGGUGUUAACUCUAAGUGAGUUAACACAUAUAAAGUGAGUUGAGCAGUACUUGGCACAGAGUGGGAGUUUUGACUAAGUUUGGGGAUACAUAGGGGUAGUCCCAGGAAUUUGUAUUUUAACAGGCUCUCCUGGUGAUUCCAUCUGCAGGUGUUAUCUAACCACACUAUGUCAAGACCCAGCGAAACUGAACUUGCCUAUUCACAGUGCAGGGCCCUGCUUUGUAAGUUAACACUCGCCAUGCAAAGAAAUACCUGGUGAGCUCCUGAUCCCUGAUGCUGGUGCCCUCUGGAGAGCCAGCUGGGCAUGGCCAGCUGUGAGCAGGAGGGAAUGAUGUCCUGGCCCUGCCUGGCCCUCUUGGCAGGGCUUCUUCAAUGGUAGAAUGCAAUCCAAAUGUUUCCUGGCAACAUGGUGGCAACAGAGGUGAUGGGCGGAGCAUCUUGGCCAGGAUACAGAGCCGCCUGCAGGUGCAGCUCCCACCCGCCGUCCUGCCGCAGGAACAGGUGUCUCCAGUGGCUCCAGGGAACAUUUAGAUUCCAAAUUGUCCCAGAAGCUUGAUGGUCUCUCCGUUCUGGUUUAUGGCAGCCUGUAGGUAGGUGACGCUUCCCAACACCACAAGUUGGCCAGAGCCAGGCCCUGACAAAAAGAUGAUCUGCAGAAGAGCCCACAGCAAACAGCCGGGUCCACAGGGAGCAGCAUCGGUUCACGGCGGGCAAGAGUGUGGCCUCACGUCUGGGAAAGGUGGAAGGUUGAGAACUAGGACCAAGACAGGCCCCGACUGGAAGAACAGAGGCAAGUAGGCAGGAAGAGGGAGGAGAGGAUCCUUGUCAGAGGAAUCAGGGUCGCGAUCCAUCUGGAGGGACUUAAUUGUCCCCAGCCCUCAGCUCAGCAUUGCUCGUGAAAAUGGAGGCUGCCCCUCAAGUGGACAUCGAGUGGCUGCAACUGCUAGAAGGAGAGACGUCAGGAACACACUGCAAACCGCCUUUCACAUUUCACACCUCCAGGCAAUAGAAACAGCCGGACUUUCCUGAAUAUUCUUCCAUGAAGACUGCAGAAGACAAGGGUCUUUCUUUGGGAAAUAACAAUAAUACUUCACUAGAAUGUCAAUAAUAAUUAAGCUGGGGGUGUAUAGGGAAGAAAUAAAAGCAACAUCCCUCAAGGCUUAUAUUACUUCUAAUGUGCAAAUCUUUGCACAUGUGACCUCUCUGCCCCGGUGUGCUAUUGAUGUACACCCAUCAAGGCUUAAGGUAAAGAACCACCACACCCGAUUAUAUGUGUAAUGUGGCUGCACCCUUUUGGGCUGAGGGCAAAAAACAUCUUAUGCAAAUAUCAUCAUUGCGCAAAGGCAAAUGUAAAUGUAUAGGGAGAAGGGGCUCUUUGGGGAUGGGCGGUCAUGCUGGUGGAUGUGAGGAAACAGCAAAAUAACUGAAAGGAAAGAGAAGACAUCUGAAUGAGGUCUUCAGAGUUAGGACACGCAAAGGCUGGCACCUGGUGCAUGGCGAUGGAUACGUUACAGGAUGGGAUGAAAGGGGGAAUGAUGAUGGGUCAGACACACUGAUCCAUCAUGAGGAAGGACCAUGAGCCUGGGAGAGCAGGUUGCUUCAGGGUUGACCCCCCGGGCUGCCAUUUCCCAGGGUGAUUUUGAGCAGGUGCCUACUUAACUUGGCAAUGCCUUAGAA
This is a long non-coding RNA of Pan troglodytes (chimpanzee), 2228 nucleotides long. RefSeq lists it as uncharacterized. Lineage: Eukaryota; Metazoa; Chordata; Mammalia; Primates; Hominidae. The transcript has 3 exons. The record is from RefSeq and is a predicted model, not a curated record.